GAUAAUUGUUUGAGGCAUGAAAAAGGCAGGUUUCAGCUUUCCUAACUGGAAUGGAGGUAAUUACUGUCUUCCACACACGAGCCGGUACAUGCUUGAAAUCAGAUGGCUCUGGGUUGUUUUAGAAAGUGUAGCUGGGCCUCUGAGCCAGGAGAGGGAGGAUUAUGGAGCCUUCCAGCGGCUCCAUUCCAGAGAGGGAGGAAUUCAGACAUCCCAGAAACGGUGAGGGUAACUUCCAUAUUUUUUUUGCAGUCUCUUCAAUUCUGCCCAAGAGAUUUGGCCUGAAAAGAUUGUGCCUUCAACCUCAUCCUGGAAAUUCAGAAGACCUUCUCUUCCAGCUCAGUGGGAUGAAGUCAACAAGGUCUUUGCUUUACAAAAUCAUGCCU
Molecule: long non-coding RNA, 383 nt
Filed under: Homo sapiens (human)
Lineage: Eukaryota; Metazoa; Chordata; Mammalia; Primates; Hominidae
Description: HSALNT0377675
Source: RNAcentral